RNAcentral lists this long non-coding RNA (1248 nucleotides) under Homo sapiens (human). RNAcentral's name for it is "HSALNT0241436". Lineage: Eukaryota; Metazoa; Chordata; Mammalia; Primates; Hominidae. The record is from RNAcentral.
UCUAUGGGGUGACUCCCAUCGGCACACAUGCACGCUGUCAUUUCUCCCAUCUUUAGAAACACCUCUCGUCUCCAUGCACUUCCCUAAUGACCACCAUAUUUCUCAGGCCCCUUUACAGAAAACCUGUUUGAAGAGGCAUCAAAACUGUUCAUCUUGGCCGGAAGCGGUGGCUCAUGCCUGUAAUCCCAGCACUUCGGGAGGCUGAGAAUCUAAAUCCCAUGAAGACAGGGACACUGCUUUGCUGCCUGCUAUGUCUCCAGCACUUAGAACAGUGCCUGGCACAUCACAGAGCCUCAAUAAUAUUUGCUGAAUGAAUGAGCAGCACCCCGCCCUUUAACAGUGGAGAGAAACCAUCAUCGACGAAGGAUCUAUACCAGAGCUGCAACUGCCACCAGCGACCCAAGACAGAGAAAUGCCACCUUGCGUUACUAAAGGGCUCAUGACACCAUAUACAACAGCUGAAUCCCCAAGAGGAGUGUGGCUGAGGAGUGAGACGAAGGUCUCUGGGACACUUUCAGAAGGAUGAGACUUUGUCCAGCCAGUCCUCAUUAUGCCAGGCAAAGGAACUGCCUGUACUCAUAACUGUGGAAGGGGAACCACAUACCAUGGGCAGGUGGUCCAUGGGGGCAGUGAUUAAGAGCAAGUCCUAGAACUCACACUGCCUUUUGGGAGUUAAACUGAAACGAACUCACAACCCCCAGAUCCCAGACAUGCAUCACCCUUGAGAGGCCCCUACUCCCUGCACCUCUCCUUCCCAGUGCUUAGCACAAGUGUAAUUAUGAUGUGGAUAAUCAUUUGUCUAAUUUAAUGUCUGUCCCCAAAGGGCCUUUGUCUGUCCUGUUGUAUCACUCUACCCCUAGGACCUAACAUGGUGCUUGGCUUAUAGUAGGUGCUUUGGGUUCAAUGAAUUAAAAAUAAAUGUUUUUAAAAGAAAGACUGAAUGGGUCUCUACACUAUAAAACUUGACAGCGACCCCAACAUCUCCCCCAAAAUAACAUCAAAUAAAAAGCACGUGGCUAACUGAUAGAAGUACAGAAAGAUGAGGACCACAGGGGCAGACAUGCAGGGCACAGCCUGGCACUGUCCACAGGCCAGGAGCCCAGCAGGCCCACAUGAGCUGGCAGGCUAUUCAGUGGCACCUGGUGACUACCUACUGAAUAAGCAGUGAAUGAAUCCACAACUUCCCUGUGAGACAGACACAGGACGGGGGCAGGAUCCGAGAUUCUCACAUCGGAUUCAGCACCAAGC